This 847-nucleotide long non-coding RNA is filed under the name Mytilus galloprovincialis (Mediterranean mussel). The record is from RNAcentral. Lineage: Eukaryota; Metazoa; Mollusca; Bivalvia; Mytilida; Mytilidae.
CUUUGACUCAAUUUUGCGUAUUUUAUAAAAUUGGUGAUUUCAGAAAUGAGUGAAUAUCAAGAUGGCAAUAACAGGUUCAUAUCCAUGGAUACUGCUAUGACAGUUUUUCCAAAAAAAAUUGGAGGCAAUGAUUGGACAAUAGAACAGUAAACCAAAUUAAAAACAAAAAUUAAAUAACACUUUUUGGAAAAUGAUAUGUGAUUGAUUGUUUGUAUAUUUAAUGUCCAGUGGCAAAGUGUUCAUGCAUCUUCAGGACGAGAACACAUUAACAAUAAAUACAUAGGUAGGUAUUGCAAUAAAGGGGUCUAUAGCGAUGAUUGACGGGUAAUUUGGAAUGCCACUGAAAAAAGGGCAGCUUGGAUAAGUACAGAAAUUUAGUCCUGCAACUGGCCAUCUACGGACCCCUGAGUUGUUGAAAUGGGUUCUCAACCCACAAAGAGCGUGGCACUCUUUCUACAUGAGGCAUCUGUUUAACGUUUCCAUUUCUGACCGGACAUUACUGCAUAUUUAAACAUCCCGCAUAGCCAAACUGACUUCAUACUUUGACAAGGAUUUUUCUGUAAGUAGGAAGAACACCAAGGCUUGACCAUAUUUGUAUAUAUACCACAGUCAACACUAGGGUAAGCAUAUGAAAUAACCAAAAAUAUUUAUUGCUUAAAUGUUUAAAAAAAAACGUUAUAUUAGCAAUACGUUAUACAUGUUAUAUACUUUAUACGGCGGGGCUCAGUCUUUAUUUUCUUUGUUGUGUUUUGUGUACUGUUUUUGAUAUGUGUGUCUUUAUAAAACACAAAAUUAGAAAAAAAACAUAGAUAAAUAUUCAACUUUUAACAAAAAUUGUGUAAAACAA